AACGAACGUUGGCGGCGUGGAUUAGGCAUGCAAGUCGGGGGAAUCUCCCGCAAGGGAGGGAACCGGCGUAAGGGGCAGUAAGGCGUGGGUACCUACCCUGGGGUUCGGGAUAGCUGUCCGAGAGGGCAGGUAAUACCGGAUGACCUGGUGACAGCAAAGAUUUAUCGCCCUGGGAGGGGCCCACGUGAUAUUAGCUAGUUGGCGGGGUAAUGGCCCACCAAGGCUGAGAUGUCUAGCAGGUGUGAGAGCACGACCUGCGCCACUGGCACUGAGACACUGGCCAGACACCUACGGGUGGCUGCAGUCGAGGAUCUUCGGCAAUGGGCGCAAGCCUGACCGAGCGACGCCGCGUGUGCGAUGAAGG
Molecule: ribosomal RNA, 364 nt
Filed under: uncultured bacterium
Lineage: Bacteria
Description: bacterial SSU rRNA
Rfam family: Bacterial small subunit ribosomal RNA
Source: RNAcentral